RNAcentral lists this ribosomal RNA (253 nucleotides) under uncultured bacterium. Its description in RNAcentral is "partial 16S ribosomal RNA". It matches the Rfam family "Bacterial small subunit ribosomal RNA", at positions 524 to 776 of the family's 1533-position model. The record is from RNAcentral.
UACGUAGGGGGCUAGCGUUGUCCGGAAUCAUUGGGCGUAAAGCGCGUGUAGGCGGUCCGAUAAGUCUGCUGUGAAAGCCAGGGGCUCAACCCUUGGAUGCCGGUGGAUACUGUCGGGCUUGAGUACGGAAGAGGCGAGUGGAAUUCCUGGUGUAGCGGUGAAAUGCGCAGAUAUCAGGAGGAACACCAAUUGCGAAGGCAGCUCGCUGGGACGUUACUGACGCUGAGACGCGAAAGCGUGGGGAGCAAACAGG